UGAAAAAGAAGAGACCUGUUAUCUGCUAUAUGAGGUCUGCUCAAACCAUAACCCCUAUUUCUUUCUCCCUUCCAUGUACCAGCGCAAAAAAAAAAACGAAUCCUUUAAUUUCAGAUCUAAUUGUAUUCCCAGCGCUCAUUCAUCUCAAACUUCUCACUCCUUUAUUCUCAAUCAAAACCCCUAAUUUAUAUUAUUGCAGAUCACCAUUUUCAGAAGCUCAUCGAAAUUCAAUAAAAGAACCCUAAUUUUUGAAAUAUGAAUCUCAAUUUCUCACUUUAAUUGAUGCAAAAGUUUCCAAUUUUUCCAUUUAAAAGUGUAUCAGCCUUGGAGGUUUCAUAUGGGGAGUCAAUUCGCGGAGCUCAAACAAUAGCUAACAGAGCAAGAGAUGAAUCGCAAGCUAAAAGAAAAGUUCAAUAAAUUUUCGCCUCUUGAGUUUCCUGACAUAUGAAGUUGCAAGGAAACAUUUGUCACUGGCCUGUCUUCAUUUACUAGCUAGACUGGUUGCCUGCAGAAAUUGACUCAAUUUUAGGUUUCUUCAAGAGAUGUUUUUACUUUUUGUUUCAAAAAAUAAUAUGUACUUCAUCAUUUGCUCUGUUCCUUAUCCUGGUUGCAGGCCAGUUUUGGCCUUGCUUGUAGUUUGCAGAGGCUAUCUAAAUUGCAAUAAGAAAGACUUAUCGUUUGCAUAGUUAUAUGUUUUGGUCUUCUUGACCAUGAGAGAUGAGUUUGAGUAAGGAUAAGGAGUACUCGAGGAUUUUGCCAAAGUUGAUGAACUUGUGUCAAUAUCAGAUGAACAUUCGGGGAUGUAGUGUGUGGUAGUUUAGCAAAUUCUUUAUGGCGGAAACACAUACAUUUUAAUGUAUUAGCCUCUAAACUCAUACUGUUAAUUUCAACUUCAGAUUGUUCCUGCUGCUAGCCAUCGACUUUGCUUGAUCUUUUAUGAUGCAGGUCCUAAGAAAAACUCUCUAAAUUUAUAUCUUCAGAUAGUUUUCCAUAGCAAUAGAGUGCUUGGUUCUUGAGCUCGGAAGAUGGAUAUUGGGUUUUUCUAUGGCCAUUGCAGACUACAUAGUUAAUGUCACCAUUAUUAAUGGCGUACUUGAAUGCUAAAAUGCUGUUAGAGAAGGAGCUGCCCUUAACAUCAGAAAUUGUGUGGUGUGAAUGGUAGGACACUUUGAUUUGAUAGAAUAAUAAAUAUUACAAAGGAUAAUCCCUUUUGUACUACACUAACUAAAUGUAUUAAUGCUUGUCGUGCUACAUGUACAAUGUGGAUUGCUGAGGAGCUUUUACAGCGAUAACAAAGGGAAUUUUGGUGUCCUGCUCUGCUAGAAAUACUGGACCCGACUCUAGCAGCUUGUCAAAUGUUGCUCCAUGGAUAACCACUGUGGGUGUUGGUGAAAUCGAUCGUGAUUCCCCAACCUAUGUUAUCCUAGGAGAUGGCAGGAAUUUUACCGGUGCAUAACUUUCCAGUGUUUUCUGAAGAAAGUUAUUCAUCGGAAAAUGUGGAUGAGGUUAGACACAUGUGGGUCGAGUAUUUUCUCAAGCAAAAAGCGGACCAAGAAAACAAAGUUGAUGGUAUGGAAAUAACUCCAUGAGUUUUGGUUUCAAUUGUUGGUAAAUUGGUGUGAAUGAUUAUAUUUUGGAAUUGAUUUUUGUUUUACGGUUUUGGGAAUCGCGAUGUAAAGUUUGACGCUUAUGCAAAUCACAGUUUAUGUAAAGCUUGCGUUUUGAGCAUUACUUGUUGGAAAUAUUUUUUUUGGUAAUAUAUGGAUUAUGGAGUUGUUCUCGAA
Spinacia oleracea (spinach) is the source of this 1784-nucleotide long non-coding RNA. RefSeq lists it as uncharacterized. The record is from RefSeq and is a predicted model, not a curated record. The transcript is spliced from 5 exons. NCBI's taxonomy places the organism in Eukaryota, Viridiplantae, Streptophyta, Magnoliopsida, Caryophyllales, Amaranthaceae.